AACGCGAAGAACCUUACCUGGUCUUGACAUCCACGGAAGUUUUCAGAGAUGAGAAUGUGCCUUCGGGAGCCGUGAGACAGGUGCUGCAUGGCUGUCGUCAGCUCGUGUUGUGAAAUGUUGGGUUAAGUCCCGCAACGAGCGCAACCCUUAUCCUUUGUUGCCAGCGGUCCGGCCGGGAACGCAAAGGAGACUGCCAGUGAUAAACUGGAGGAAGGUGGGGAUGACGUCAAGUCAUCAUGGCCCUUACGACCAGGGCUACACACGUGCUACAAUGGCGCAUACAAAGAGAAGCGACCUCGCGAGAGCAAGCGGACCUCAUAAAGUGCGUCGUAGUCCGGAUUGGAGUCUGCAACUCGACUCCAUGAAGUCGGAAUCGCUAGUAAUCGUGGAUCAGAAUGCCACGGUGAAUACGUUCCCGGGCCUUGUACACACCG
This 434-nucleotide ribosomal RNA is filed under the name uncultured bacterium. Its description in RNAcentral is "bacterial SSU rRNA". It matches the Rfam family "Bacterial small subunit ribosomal RNA", at positions 958 to 1392 of the family's 1533-position model. The record is from RNAcentral.